Molecule: non-coding RNA, 45 nt
Filed under: Schistosoma curassoni
Lineage: Eukaryota; Metazoa; Platyhelminthes; Trematoda; Strigeidida; Schistosomatidae
Source: RNAcentral
AUCUUGCUGAAGAGUGGUAAAUAGCACGAAACCCGGGUGUAUGAU